AAUAAGUGCAGUUUUACACUAUUCAUGUCCAACGUUUGACCGUUCGUCUUAUUUGAAAAUUUUAUAUGAUUGGUAUUUUUAUUGUUAGUAGAUGAUAAAACAUGAAUAAUACUUUAUGUGUGACUAAUUUUUUAAAAUAUUUUCAUAUUUUUUUUAAAUAAGACGAACGGUCAAACGUUGGACACGGAUUCCCACGGCUGCACUUAUU
Molecule: non-coding RNA, 208 nt
Organism: Oryza glumipatula
Lineage: Eukaryota; Viridiplantae; Streptophyta; Magnoliopsida; Poales; Poaceae
Source: Rfam